AGCUUCCCUCCUGCAGAUAAUGGUGCAUUUGAGGCCAGGAUAGUCAUGGAUUCCUGAGUACAAGGACAGUGGCUCAUUGUUGCUAAGGAUCCCAACUCAAAUUAGCAACACUGGACUGAAAACACAAACUAAAAUCCUCCUACCUGAGCAAGGUAUGCAGGAAAAACUGAGACUGCUGUUCGCAGGGACAAGUAUCCAUAUGAAAUCUAUAGUGAUGAUCUAUGCCUGGCAGAGGAAAAAUGGUCAACUAUCUAAUGGGCCCCCUCAAAGUCUCCCUGCAUCUCAGAAGAACACCAAUGUCCAGAGCUCUGUGAUUCCUCUAUCACUGUGGAGCAUCUGCCAAGAAUGGACACCAGCAUCUGUAGACCAGGGAGAGACUGGUUCCCACACUUUAGUUCCGUACGCCCAAACAGUAAAACAACAGCCUAUCCCCUAAUGAAGUAUGUACAUAAUGAUAGAGGAUU
Molecule: long non-coding RNA, 464 nt
Filed under: Rattus norvegicus (Norway rat)
Lineage: Eukaryota; Metazoa; Chordata; Mammalia; Rodentia; Muridae
Description: long non-coding RNA NONRATT025646
Source: RNAcentral